Molecule: ribosomal RNA, 365 nt
Filed under: Bacillus subtilis
Lineage: Bacteria; Bacillati; Bacillota; Bacilli; Caryophanales; Bacillaceae
Description: bacterial SSU rRNA
Rfam family: Bacterial small subunit ribosomal RNA
Source: RNAcentral
UUUAUCGGAGAGUUUGAUCCUGGCUCAGGACGAACGCUGGCGGCGUGCCUAAUACAUGCAAGUCGAGCGGACAGAUGGGAGCUUGCUCCCUGAUGUUAGCGGCGGACGGGUGAGUAACACGUGGGUAACCUGCCUGUAAGACUGGGAUAACUCCGGGAAACCGGGGCUAAUACCGGAUGGUUGUUUGAACCGCAUGGUUCAAACAUAAAAGGUGGCUUCGGCUACCACUUACAGAUGGACCCGCGGCGCAUUAGCUAGUUGGUGAGGUAACGGCUCACCAAGGCAACGAUGCGUAGCCGACCUGAGAGGGUGAUCGGCCACACUGGGACUGAGACACGGCCCAGACUCCUACGGGAGGCAGCAGU